GAAGAAGAAGAAGAAGAAGAAUACGGAUAACCAGACAAAUUCUUUCUCACGGCAUGAGCCAUGUAAUCAACUGCUACCCCCUUCACUUUCACAGAAAUAUUAAUGAUACCGUUCUUUUCACCCCUCAAAUCCCUCAGCCUAUAACUCAAGAAAUGCAAAUAAUUUACAGGGGUAUAACCUCCCAAGAAGUCAGAAGCAGGAACCGUAGCUGUGCCAAUUACUCUAUUCGCUGAGCUAAUCCUGCAUUGCACUUCUAAGGUAAUAAACCCAGCAUGCAUUGGCAUCUCCAUUUCGAGUUUUUGAUUCCAG
RNAcentral lists this unclassified non-coding RNA (309 nucleotides) under Hevea brasiliensis (rubber tree). Lineage: Eukaryota; Viridiplantae; Streptophyta; Magnoliopsida; Malpighiales; Euphorbiaceae. The record is from RNAcentral.